RNAcentral lists this small RNA (2546 nucleotides) under Vigna angularis var. angularis. RNAcentral's name for it is "Non-protein coding transcript". The record is from RNAcentral. Lineage: Eukaryota; Viridiplantae; Streptophyta; Magnoliopsida; Fabales; Fabaceae.
CUGAUAUCUUAACAAUCAGAAUAUGACUUAAUGCACAAAUUUUGUUCGGUAAACUUACACUAUGUUGAUGGAUUAAUUUAUAAAGUGUCAUUCAAUUCUAAAUAGUACCUCCAAGAAGGGUCAUGUCCUUUCCAUUCUUGGCUUGUGACACACUUUUCUGCCAGCCGAUACACCACAUACGACCAUUAAAAUCAAACAGGUAGUCGUGAGGAUAAACUGUCAGAGAAAGAGAAUCCUCAAAAUGAAACUUGACAACUGGAAAUCCACGAUCAACACUGCAAGAUUACAACAAUCAAUAAAAUAAAGGCCGCAUAUGCUAGACACUAUCGAUGCACUUGUUGCCUUCGUGAACUAAUGAAAUUGAAUUGUCAAACAGAGAAAUGCAUUUUAAUUACCCAAACAGCAUUUGAACAAUGAAUACCAAGUUACUAUUUAAAAAAAACACAUUUUUAAUAGACAAUUCUUUUGAAAUAUAGUUAUUUGUAAGGUAUCAACAAAAGGUUUAUAUACUUCUUUUGUACCUAAAUAGUCAAACAUGAGAUUCUUUAUACAUAAUUAUCCAACCUACUCAACAGCUCCCUUCAGAAACAAAGAAAAAGGACAAAUAAUAAAAAACCCAAAACAGAAAAUUCAAAGGACCGGUUAAGGUGAUUGUCAUACAUUUUUCUGUAACAAAAGUCCUAAUAGCACACAAUACAUUCACUUCAUUAAGAAGCUAAUAGGUAAUUUUAAAAUCAAAAGGCCAACAUAUGUCAAAGCACCAUCCUUGCUAAAGCGCACAAAUUUUAUUACACAACCUCUUAUCCUAAUUACUACUGCCUUGUUUCCUUUAUUUUAUCACAAUUGUUUUCCUCCUUCAGUUUUCAGAAUAUUGGAUUGCCGGACAUUCUCAAACAGUCAUGGAUGGAUAUUUACGAAGAUACAUUUAAAUAGAAAUAUGAAGUUGACACAUCAAACCCUAUGAACUAAACAACCAAGAAAAUAAACCUAAAGUAUCUCAAAUAAGUUAUGCAAUAUUGUAUGUCAGUUAAAAACAAUGAGGAAUAAACCAAUACUUGUUCCAGUAUAAAAGAUAAAUGUAAAUUUUAAAUAAAAGAAUGUCACAAAGAUAAGCGUCAUACUUUCCAGCAUACUGAAAACAACUAAAUUGUUGUUCAACAAGAUAUAAUUUCAGUCCAGGCUGCCGGGUCAAAACCUAUCAUAAAGAACAUUAAUGAAUACUCAAGUGGAAAUAUUGAUUCAGUUAAACCUUUAUAGAUACACUUACCUUUUGCAUCAGUUGGUCAUAAACUAACCCAGGAAGAUAAGCCAAGGUUGUUCCACUAUCUAUUAUUGUCCCCCUCCCAUUUCCAGACUCAAAUAUAUCCGAGGGAAGCUGUAGUGUAUCUGUAUCAACCUCAAUAGUCUUCAAAACUACGUUAUAGUGUGCCCUAUAAUGGUCAAAAGAUAACAGUUACGGCAUAACUUUUUUAACUCAAGAUCUGAAUGAACUGAAUACCAAAACAUUAUAUAUUGCAAGUACUUGAAAAACAUUUCACAACUCAAACCAGAGGCCUCAGAUGAAUAUACUUUCAGAAAACGUAAAGCCAUAAAAACAACAGAAACAGAAGGAAGGCCUUUAUUGUGUGGCCUUAUAAAACAUAAAUACUAGUAGUGAGAUGGAAUUUCCUACAUCCCAAUUAUUAUUAAAAAUUUGUUAAAACGAUCCCCGCAGGAUCCAAAAGGGGCAAUAAAAGACAAAAAGUUUGAAAAGGUGCUGCUCAAUACUCCUGCACUAAUGACAUUGACGUAAAGCAAUCAAAUUGAUAGAAAUAUACAAAUAAAAAUCUAUUAGAUAUCAUUGGUGUGAAUGCUGUAUUCCACUCUCGUAUCAAGCAUUUACAACAUUAGCUUUGAAAUUAUAUUUCCGUUACUUCAUUUUCUGAAUCUUUUAUAAAUAUAUUAUAUCAAAUGUUUAAAUGUCCAAAUGGAGAAAAAAAGAACCACGCAGAUUCAGCACUCUAGGGAAUUUUCUACCUUCAAAUAAUAUUAAGCACUGCUCCCUACUUCAAUUAUAGAACAACCCAACCAACUGAAAUAUCUUGUGAAAAUCGCAUGAAGUUAUUCAUAAGACAAUUCAUUAUUGGUAGCUCUGCGUGACCAUCAAAUUUACCCUUAGAGUUAUCUCAUAACCAAUAUAAUAGUACGAGAGUGAAAUACUAAGUUACCGUACAUACAUUCUUGGUACCAAUGGAGUUGUACUAACUUUUGGUUCCACCACUUCCCCGAUGGCAAAUAUUCCACCACCACGAAUAUUGUCAAGGCAAUGUGAAAAUAUUUUUUUCACCUUUCCAGAUGCAGCAAGCUGAGAAAGUACAGAAGAAUUUGCUUGUCCAAAACCCAUUAUUCCGUCAAGGGCUUGUUCAGAAGAUGAACCCAAUGUCCCAGAUUGUACAGCGCCACACCUGUCAGCAAAAGAUUAACCAUAGAAAUAUAAACAGGAGAAAAAGUUGAAAUGGCAUAAUUUUUAUUUAAUCUAUAUCAACCUAGGAACUUAUUAGCCUGAA